RNAcentral lists this unclassified non-coding RNA (520 nucleotides) under uncultured Glomus. Its description in RNAcentral is "SSU rRNA". It matches the Rfam family "Eukaryotic small subunit ribosomal RNA", at positions 569 to 1090 of the family's 1831-position model. The record is from RNAcentral. Lineage: Eukaryota; Fungi; Glomeromycota; Glomeromycetes; Glomerales; Glomeraceae.
AGCAGCCGCGGUAAUUCCAGCUCCAAUAGCGUAUAUUAAAGUUGUUGCAGUUAAAAGCUCGUAGUUGAAUUUCGGGGUUAGUAGGUUGGUCAUGCCUCUGGUAUGUACUGGUCUCACUGAUUCCUCCUUCCUGAUGAGCCGUAAUGCCAUUAAUUUGGUGUUGCGGGGAAUUUGGACUGUUACUUUGAAAAAUUAGAGUGUUUAAAGCAAGCUAACGCUUGAAUACAUUAGCAUGGAAUAAUGAAAAUAGGACGUUCGAUCCUAUUUUGUUGGUUUCUAGGAUUGACGUAAUGAUUAAUAGGGAUAGUUGGGGGCAUUAGUAUUCAAUUGUCAGAGGUGAAAUUCUUGGAUUUAUUGAAGACUAACUACUGCGAAAGCAUUUGCCAAGGAUGUUUUCAUUAAUCAAGAACGAAAGUUAGGGAUCGAAGACGAUCAGAUACCGUCGUAGUCUUAACCAUAAACUAUGCCGACUAGGGAUCGGAUGAUGUUAAUUUUUUAAUGUACUCAUUUCGGCGUCCUU